AAAAUUUAAUUUUAAUUUUUUGGAUUAAUUUUUUAAAUGAGUUAUAUAAAAAUUUUAAUAAGUUUUUUGUAUUUUUAAAUAAAAUUUUUGUUUAUAAAUUAAUUUUUAGUUUUAUUAAAUAAAUAAGUGUUUAUUUUAUUAAUUUAAUUAAUUAUUAUUAAAUAAUGUGCCAGCAAAAGCGGUUAAACAUUUAAUAAAAAUUAAUUUAUUUAAUAUAAUUUUUUAUUAUUUAUAAUUAAUUGGAAAGAAAUUUUAUUAUUUGGUGAAAUAUAUUAAUAAUAUUAAUUUAGUUAUUAAUUAUUUAUUAAAUUAAAGAAUUUAAUUUUAAAACUAGGAUUAGAUACCCUAUUAUAUAGAUUUAUAUAAUAAAUAAUUGAGUAAUUAGAAUUUAUUAUUUUAAAAUUAUAAAAUUUGGCGGUAUUAAUUUUUAAUUAGGGGAACUUGUUAUUUAAUUUGAUAUUCCACAAUUAUAUAAACUAGUAUAAAUAAUUAUGUAUUGUUGUUUUAAUAAUAUAUUAUAAGAUAUAUUUAAUAUAUUAAAUAAAUAAUUAUAAUUCAAAUCAAAAUAUAUUAAAUAUAUUAGAAUAUUAAAUGAGUUACAAUAAAUUAGAUUUUUGGAUUUUAAUUUUUAAAAUUAUUUUGAAAUUGGAUUUAAUAGUAAAUUUUAAUUAUUUAUAUUAUUUAUUUUUAUUAGAUAAAUAUAAAUUUAGAUUGAAUUUUUAAUAUUAUGUACAAAUUGCCCGUCAUUUUCAUUAAUUUAAAUGAAAGAAGUCGUAACAAAGUAAAAAUACUGGAAAGUGUUUUUAGAUUA
This 811-nucleotide ribosomal RNA is filed under the name Cephalonomia gallicola. RNAcentral describes it as "12S ribosomal RNA". Lineage: Eukaryota; Metazoa; Arthropoda; Insecta; Hymenoptera; Bethylidae. The record is from RNAcentral.